RNAcentral lists this long non-coding RNA (1940 nucleotides) under Phoenix dactylifera (date palm). RNAcentral's name for it is "long non-coding RNA (PDAC_LNC005044)". Lineage: Eukaryota; Viridiplantae; Streptophyta; Magnoliopsida; Arecales; Arecaceae. The record is from RNAcentral.
CAAUGAUCCAAAAAAAUAGAAAUGUGAUUUGAAUGCCAAAAUGUUAAGCAUGCCACCAAUAUGAAAAAGAUUAGUUAGUAUAGCAAACUCAUUGUGGAUCGUACAUAGUUUGUUGUGAAAGAGAAAGUGGACUAGUGUGUGACUUGAUGAAGUUAGAAAGGCAAUUUAUAAAGGAACUAUGUAGCAAGAAGUGGUCUCAGCAUGAUGGCAUGAAAGAACAAUCUACCUAAUAUGCUUGGUACAUUACGGAGUAUCAGAUCAUUCAAAAUUUAGCAACAUCUUGCUUAUCACAACUAAUGGUGUUAGUCAUGUUUGAAGAUGCCCUUUGUUUCAGUAAAUUAGGAAUCAAACCUAGGCAUCCUCAACAGAGGUAUCGAUUAUGGUGCUGUACUCAGCUUUAAGCCUUUAACAAACUGAGAAACAAUGUCUCAGCUUUAAGCCUUUAACAAACUGAGAAACAGUGGCUUGCUUCCUUCUCUUCUAUGAAGCUGUAGCAGAGAAAGGAUGAGAGACUUAGUGCCAAGUGGUGGUGGCAUGACCAGAGAUGGCUAAGGAUACUCUUGAGGCUAGAUCAUAUGGUUUCAUAAUGAACUUGUUGACCACAGGAAUGACAUGGACAAUGUCAUGAAGUGGUCAAAGGGUUCCAACAAGAUGACAUUAUCAGAUAAAGAAAAGGGUCACCAUCAUCCAUACCUGAACUUCAAAUGAAGCUUAGUGGGUGCUGAAGUAAUUGCAGUGUUGAGCACUGGAGAUGAUUGUUAGUAAUACACACACAUUUAUGUGUGCAGGUGUACAUAUAUUCCUUCUUUACAUAUACAUAGGUGUGUGUAAAAAGAAAUCAACAUUGUCAACAACUACACAUCAAGCUUCAGGAAAUAACAAAAAUCAUGAAGAUUCUUUAUAUCAAACUGCCUUUGAAGAUACUUCUUCGCAGUUUAAUGUGAUAAUACAACAUGAAUUGUGAUGAUCAUAUAAUCCACAUUAAGUAGAAAUUUUAACAGAAAUUGUGGGAUCAUUAGAGGGACACAUGUCCAUUUAAACUCGUUUUACCAUUUGCCCUUUUGACUGGUUAACCUAGACAGGAACUAUAAAUUUAAAAUCCAACUCGCAAAUUCAGGAGAGGCAGUAUUAGUUUGAAAUUUAGGAACUGUUUCCCAAGUAUUUGGACCUGGGCAAUUCGAUUUGGUGGGUUUUAAAAAGAAAUUUUUUUCCAGUCCAACUCUCUCUCUCUCUCUCUCUCUCUACUAGUUAGGNNNNNNNNNNNNNNNNNNNNAGUCCAACUCUCUCUCUCUCUCUCUCUCUCUACAUUAGGUUGCUUACCCCUACAAUAUAGGAGAUUCAAAUGACUAUAAACAGCAAAUACAGUGCAUUUUCUUAGGGUUCCAGUAAUGUGAAUCCAAUAACUUGAGGCUCGCUCCCCCAGCUUCAUAAACAGUCUGAUAUCAAUGGUCAACACAAAUUCCGUAAGCCCCUUUCUGUAGAUGUUUCAACGAUGAAUUUUGAUUGGCCUAUUCAAGAACAAACCCACAAAAAUGAAAUUUUGCCAAGGGUAUCAUUGCUAAGGAUAACUUAGAUGAAUCCGUUAAAAUGUCAGAAUUAUCUUCAAUUGAUUCUUUACCUUUUUCCUUUUUCAUUUCCUUGUCUUUUACUUAUUUAUUGGACUUUUUCAGAUCAAGCCCCUGUCCCCUCUUCUUCCCCUGAUAUUUCUUUGUAUUCCCCAUUCCCUUUGCUUUCUAUUAUAAAUCCUUGUAUCUACCAUUUCCACCCACUUUCCCUUAGGCCCGUGUUGUACUUUUGAUUUCCACUUCUUUCGUCCCUUUCGUUUGUUCUUGCUAGCUCCAUUUUGUCUUCUUUUUUUUUUUGGCUAAACUUUUUUUCCUAGUUUUCAUUUUCGAUUUUCUACUCUUGUUGUUCUUCUUUCUCUAUUGUUUCUUGUUUCU